Molecule: long non-coding RNA, 494 nt
Organism: Mirounga angustirostris (Northern elephant seal)
Lineage: Eukaryota; Metazoa; Chordata; Mammalia; Carnivora; Phocidae
Exons: 4
Source: RefSeq, a predicted model, not a curated record
CACCGCCUCUACCCUUGCUGGCCUCAGGACCCCCGGACCAGGCCCUUCACAGGUCCUCCUGACUUCCCCAGGUUGCAGCCCAGCUUUGGACAGUGGAGAUGCCCACAGCCUCCCCUCAGUGGCUCCACCCUCACAUAUGGUCUGGUCUGCGUGCUCUCCUCGUCCCCUGGCCAGCGCUCUCCUGACAGGCCAGCCCAACACACCCUCCCAGCCUCGGUGGCACUGCUCUUCCUCCCAGCAGUCAAAUUACAGCAGCCCUGGAAGCCCCACCAAGGAUGAGGUGCCUGGUGUGCAGUGGAGAGCUCGUCCCAGUCCCGAAGCUGGAGGGCUCACAAGGCACGUAGGCGAAAUGAUUUUUAUUUAUUUAUUUGAGAGAGAGAGAAUGAGAGACAGAGAGCACGAGAGGGAAGAGGGCAGAGGGAGAAGCAGACCCCCCCGCCGAGCAGGGAGCCCGAUGCGGGACUCGAUCCCAGGACUCCAGGAUCAUGACCUGA